This 381-nucleotide ribosomal RNA is filed under the name uncultured bacterium. Its description in RNAcentral is "bacterial SSU rRNA". It matches the Rfam family "Bacterial small subunit ribosomal RNA", at positions 30 to 416 of the family's 1533-position model. The record is from RNAcentral.
AUUGAACGCUGGCGGAAUGCUUUACACAUGCAAGUCGAACGGUAGAGGGGGCGACCCCUCGAGAGUGGCGAACGGGUGAGUAAUAUAUCGGAACGUGCCCAGUCGUGGGGAUAACGUAGCGAAAGUUACGCUAAUACCGCAUACGAUCUAAGGAUGAAAGCGGGGGAUCGCAAGACCUCGCGCGAUUGGAGCGGCCGAUAUCAGAUUAGGUAGUUGGUGGGGUAAAGGCUCACCAAGCCAACGAUCUGUAGCUGGUCUGAGAGGACGACCAGCCACACUGGAACUGAGACACGGUCCAGACUCCUACGGGAGGCAGCAGUGGGGAAUUUUGGACAAUGGACGAAAGUCUGAUCCAGCCAUUCCGCGUGCAGGAUGAAGGCC